This is a long non-coding RNA of Prosopis cineraria, 1840 nucleotides long. RefSeq lists it as uncharacterized. The record is from RefSeq and is a predicted model, not a curated record. NCBI's taxonomy places the organism in Eukaryota, Viridiplantae, Streptophyta, Magnoliopsida, Fabales, Fabaceae. The transcript is spliced from 2 exons.
AGGAAAAAUGAGAGACACCCUCCUGAAUUGCUAAAGGCUAAUUGACUUUAAUGCUCAUCCUUCCUUUCUUCUCUCUCAUCGUCGAUCCUGCUCCACACUGACAUCAAUAAUGCCUCUUCCUCUCCUUGUCUGUCGGUCCUUGCCUUGCAUCACUCGGACUCACCGACCUCUCAUUGAAUAUGUCUCACCAACAAAGAACUUGAAUCAAAUUUAAUGAAGCCAUUGAAGGUUUAGGGCACAGUGUGAAGUAAGCCUCGAUUCGAUGUGAGUGGGUUCGACCCAUGGAGGUCUCUAACCUCAUCUUCAUUUGAGCAACAUGAUCAAAAGCAUAGUGCACCAUUGGUAAGGAGGUAUUCCAUCUCAACCUCCUCGGUUCUACGACAUUUAGAGCUAUCCAAACACUCCAUGGCCUCCAACAUUCACCGAAUGGGUUUUCAUUCCGUCUGUGCUGCUUCUUCUUUCUCUUUCAACAUGUUGGAUGAAUAACUUUAGUUUUUAGUUUUUUCUCGUGAGAGUUUCCAUGUCUACUCUAUGCUAGUGUUUUUAAUGACUCAAUUUUUAGUCCGCAAUGUUUAUUGGGUGCAUAAUUCUAGGAAGCACAGGAUUGAACAGAGUUAAAUUGAACAAACCAAUCUUGGCUUGUGCAUACCAAAAGUCUCAGGUUGUUUCCCAUGCAUUGGACAUGCAGUUCAGGGAUGAUCUUGAGCGUUUGAAGAAAAUAAGGUUGUUCAUCUGCUACUGAACUUGUAAGCAUGCUUUUUUAUGAGUCUCUUGCCACAUCCAAGCAGUGUUGAUCAUUCUUUUUUGUUAUGUGACUAUAUGAUCGGGCGUGCUAUGAUUGAUUGGAGGCAUGAAUGGGAUUUUUUUAGCAGUUAUUUGUUUUUUUUUUUUUUUUGGAAAUCGAUACCUGCUUGAUUUCAAGAAGUUUCUUUCAUCUCAAAGAUGUUAGUAAAAGAAGUAUUUGCCAUGAUUAGUUUAAAACUGCAGCAGGUUACUUGAAUGUCUUCUCCACAGGCUUUUCCGAAGGAAGUACUGCUAUAGUUCAACUUGUUAUAUUUGAUGAUCAAAUUGGCUGCCUCGUUUAUCUAUUGUUCACCGGUUUUAACUCUCAUUUGUUUGGAUCAGGAUUCAAUAGAGAUAUGACUUAAAAGCAUAAGCAUUUUUCUAGUGUCUUUGUCAUCAUGAAGGUUUGUUUGACAACGAUUAUGGUUCUCUGUAAAUAAGCUAGAAAAGGAUGAAAAGGGGUUGAAAUGAAGCACGCUUAUUGUCCAGGUUUUUUUCGGUCCAUCUUGUUGUUCAAGUUUAGUUGUCAAAGUUAUGUUGCCCAUUGCCCACGACCAGAGACAUUGGGUUCGCUUAUGUGGCAUUCUUCUUGCUUUAGUGGUCACUUUCCUGCUUAACAUUUUGUCAUGCAUCCAUAGGCAGCAACAGGAAGCAGAAUUGGAGUUGAUAGAAGAAGAGACUACAAAGAGAGUAGAAGAUGCAAUUCGUAAGAAAGUUGAAGAGAGCUUGAAAUCUGAAGAAAUUCAAGUGGAGAUUCAAAGACAAUUUGAAGAGGGAUGAAAAAGACUAAUCGAUGAACUUGCGGCUCAACUCAAGAAAGAAAAGGAAGCUACUCUUUUUGAGGCUAGGUGGAAGCCGGAAGGAGGUAUAAAUCCGGAUUAUCAAUUCUUUUUUACAGCCAUUUGUUCAAGCAACGAUUGGGAAUUGUUGGAGUUGAAAGCUAUGCUACUAAAAGCACAAUUGGAACCACACAAAAAGGCCUUGUUUGAUUGUAAAAGACGGACCAUUUGUAAUUUUAAUUUUUAAUAAAAUGAAGUUUAGUUCAAUUUUCCGUUUA